UAAUACGGAGGUGGCGAGCGUUGUUCGGAAUCACUGGGCGUAAAGGGCGCGUAGGCGGGGCCGGAAGUCGGGUGUGAAAGCCCCGGGCUCAACCCGGGAAUGGCGCUCGAGACUCUGGCUCUUGAGUCCCGGAGAGGCGGGUGGAAUUCCUGGUGUAGCGGUGAAAUGUGUAGAGAUCAGGAGGAACACCGGUGGCGCAGGCGGCCCGCUGGACGGAGACUGACGCUGAGGCGCGAAAGCGUGGGGAGCAAACGGGAUUAGAUACCCCGGUAGUCCACGCGGUAAACGAUGGGGGCUAGGUGUGGGGGGUAUCGACCCCCUCCGUGCCGAAGCUAACGCAUUAAGCCCCCCGCCUGGGGAGUACGGCCGCAAGGUUG
RNAcentral lists this ribosomal RNA (377 nucleotides) under uncultured bacterium. RNAcentral's name for it is "bacterial SSU rRNA". It matches the Rfam family "Bacterial small subunit ribosomal RNA", at positions 521 to 896 of the family's 1533-position model. The record is from RNAcentral.